This 459-nucleotide ribosomal RNA is filed under the name uncultured bacterium. RNAcentral's name for it is "partial 16S ribosomal RNA". It matches the Rfam family "Bacterial small subunit ribosomal RNA", at positions 338 to 795 of the family's 1533-position model. The record is from RNAcentral.
CCUACGGGGGGCUGCAGUGAGGAAUAUUGGUCAAUGGUCGGGAGACUGAACCAGCCAAGCCGCGUGAGGGAUGAAGGUACAGAGUAUCGUAAACCUCUUUUGUCAAGGAACAAAGUCAGGCUCGCGUGCCCGGAUGAGUGUACCUGAAGAAAAAGCAUCGGCUAACUCCGUGCCAGCAGCCGCGGUAAUACGGAGGAUGCGAGCGUUAUCCGGAUUUAUUGGGUUUAAAGGGUGCGUAGGCGGUCUGUUAAGUCAGCGGUCAAAGCCCGGGGCUCAACCCCGGCGCGCCGUUGAAACUGGCAGUCUCGAGUUGGAGAGAGGUAUGCGGAAUGCGCGGUGUAGCGGUGAAAGGCAUAGAUAUUGCGCAGAACUCCGAUUGCGAAGGCAGCAUGCCGGCUCCAAACUGACGCUGAGGCACGAAAGCGUGGGUAUCGAACAGGAUUAGAUACCCUAGUAGUC